AUAAAAUUGUGUUAUUCUUAGCCAUCUGCUCAGUGUUACAUGCCAAGGGUAAAAAUUGAUUAACUCAGCAAAGGUAGCACGUGGUUAGAGGUAAUGGGUUGGCCACUGGGUUCAUUUUAUAGCCAUAAAUAAUCCAAUUUGGCCAGGGACUAGCAUAUACAGAGACUUAGAAAUCUUGUUCCAAAUUUCUGAUGUUGUAUUCACCUCCUUUUCUCCCAAUCUCAAACCUCAAUACCCUUUGUACCUCUACUCUCAAGGUCACCAGUAACUCAAAUGUUCUGCAGUAGAUUUUUGAUCAUCCCACUCAUUCCCACCACUACAUCCCUUUUAUAGCAUAAAUGCCCCACUGUUAAAGUGUGACAAGCCUCUUACAAGGCUCAGGAGUUUGUACCAAAUUCUUGAUUGGGAAGAAAAAAAAACAGGACAACUAAGUAGAAAGUAAGUUUACUGGAACCCAAGUAGCCAAAAUGGAGCCUAGAGAACCAGGCUUAAAUAUGAAUAGCAACUAAGGGAAGGAAGUUAGGCAGCCCAAGCCACAGAAAUUGGGGCAGAUUUUUAACUAGCCCAUUAGUCCUUGCAGCUUCCCUUACAAGUAUCUUGAAUGAAUUCUCCCGGAGACAGAAGCCCCAGUGUCAGAACCCCAGGCAGAAGCUCAUAGUUGCUAGUGGACUGUGUUAGUGUCAUGCCUCCACCCUUCACUACCUUGGCUUCCUGUAGCAGAGCCAGAAUAUGGCUUUUGGGGUCCCUGUUAAAUAGGUGUUGACUUCCUCCAAGGCUUACAGUGUGGGAGAAAAACUUUGGAAGAAAUUUGGGUGGGUAGUAAUUAGAACUGCCCAUUCUCAGGCCCCUCUGUACUCCACUGCCUGAUACCCCUGCUCUCAGCUUUCUCCUGUCUCCGGAGAGGACCAUCUCCCUUCCACUGUCCACCAAAAGAGCAUUUUCCAUCCACAGUUUUGAAUGAGAGGACACACUUCAAAAUCUGUGGGAGGGGGCAGCAGGGGCCAGCUGUGAUUCUCAGCUGUCCAGUGAGGCCAGGAGAGAGACCAGGAUUUACAAACGUCCCUACUCGCCUCACUGGCUUUAGAAGCAAUCUUCCAAGGAAAAGCAACCAAAGAGAUGCCCAAGCAUGGAGUGGAUUGGUAGAAACAGAACACAGAGCUACAUGGGCUACUUAGACCAAGACCCUGUCCUCCCCACCCCACAUCUGGUUUAGGAGGAUAGGCAGGAGCCCCAUGACCCUGAAGAGACCUGACUACUGCGCCCUCUGCUUUGUAGCCUUGCGGGUGAGAGACCACUUGGCAGGUGAGAUUCAAGGUUCUCGUCCUAUACAUCCCAAAGGAAAGCAAGACCCAGACCUAGCGAAUACAGUCGCCAAGAAAGGGGAGUGAGAAUUUUGCUCUCAGCUUGGUUCCCCUUCAACUAUGGAAGAUGCCUGAUGUGCCUGAUGAGCAGUGAAUCCUUAAAGGAGAAUAAACUAUUGUUUGAAGCCACCUAGUUUGGCACUCUGCAAAACUGCAGCCUUGGGGUAUCAGUCGCCUGCCCCCACAGACUCACCUCCAGGAGGGCACUAUGGCCUCCAGCUGUUCCCCUCCCUGUCUCCCCAGACCUCUGGAGUUGUUUCACAGCUCAACUGAGUACAGAGGUGAAGGAAGAACUUCCACAAACUAGUGGAGGAAAGAAGAAAGGAAUGUGGCAGUGAUUAGAACUCCGUUGAGAAUUCUUUGAAGAAACUUACUGCACUAGUAAUCCACCUUGACAAUGAAAAACUAGAAAAUAAAAAUAAAUCAGAAGAAAAGAUAAAUUAACAUUGUCCAUAAUUUGCGAUGGAGUGACUUUUGUUAGUAUCAGAGGAAGUUCCAGAUUUUAUGGGAUUGGAGGGCUCUUUCACUUUCUGUUACUAGAAAUUAAAUCAAGGAGUACUCUGCCACUGAGUUACAUCCUCAGGUGUUGAGGGCCGCCAAUCAAGUCAAGAUGGCGCCUGGCAGUUUGCCAAGAGGAGUGGUUUGUGAGGCAACGCCACCAAGCCAUUAAGAUGGUGGAGAUUCCUUAUUGGCUGAUUGCUGUAUCUGGAUGAUGCUAAUUGAGUCAAGCUGUGUGUAAUCAGUUAGGUAUAUAUACCGCUGUUGUUCCGUAAUAAAGCAGUUCCCGUUUCAACCUUCAAGUUGCUUGUCACCUCC
Molecule: long non-coding RNA, 2177 nt
Filed under: Marmota monax (woodchuck)
Lineage: Eukaryota; Metazoa; Chordata; Mammalia; Rodentia; Sciuridae
Source: RNAcentral